Molecule: long non-coding RNA, 2524 nt
Filed under: Lathyrus oleraceus (garden pea)
Lineage: Eukaryota; Viridiplantae; Streptophyta; Magnoliopsida; Fabales; Fabaceae
Description: Pisum sativum (pea) long non-coding RNA (PSAT_LNC020853)
Source: RNAcentral
AGCCUUAUUUUGGCUUGCUGUGAUUAUCGGCAUGACACUACUAAUUGCUGUCAAUAUCAGUGGUUCAAGUAUCUUCAAUCCUUGAGACGGUCUUUGACAAUCUUCACCUUGGUUCAGCUAAAGUAAUUCUUAAGUCUUGUGCUCUUACUUCCAUUGGAUAGUUCAACUGCUUUAUACUUCUUGUGUAUGUUCUCCACAAAGUUAAUUUUUUUUUAUCUUGCAGGUUGUGCAGAAGAUUUUUAAUCAGAUCUUUCUUUUAGCUACUAGUAUAGUUUAGUAUAUUCAUGAGUACUGCUGUGGAGCAAAGCAUCUACUGGCGGCGGGUGAUUCAUGGCUUCUUUUUGUGAGAGCUACAGAUUUUAAUUCAGCUUAAAUAUAAAUUUAUUGUUCGUAUAUAUGCAAAUACAACGAUAUUGUUUUUUACCAGGCAAUAAUAAAAUAGCAGGUUUUUUAACCAUUACAUUUGUCUGGGACUUCAUUUAUAACAUUUCCUAUACGUGAGAGCUACAGGUAUUUAAAGAUAAAAAAAAUACAAGACAGACAGAACGAUAGUAUCUAAUCUCACGUCCAUGCAUUUCUUACACAGUUUAAAAACGAUAGUUAAGAAACAACAUGUAAGAAAGAGACUCCUCUAUAAUCAGACAACAAUAAAAUUAAAGAAUGGUGAAGAGUUAAAAAUUCUAUUAAAUCAAACUCGACAUUGUGAUCGAUUUUUACAAGGUGAUCUAUACAAUGAUUUGUUUGAUUCAUAAGAAAUAACACUUCAAAUAAAAAAGAAGACAAAUGAAGAUUUUGAGUUUUCUGAGAGAUGAUCAUAUAAACCACAACAGAGAAACCUAAACUACUUAUCAUUCCCAAACUGGACUAGUGGAGUUGGAUUUCUUGAAAAAAUUAGUAGGAGGCAUCCAUUUAACAUUUAUUAUAUGUUACCUUUGCAAUGAAUGAAGAAAAAUAUAACAAAAUGUUGGUACCUCAAAGAUUACUUAAAAAAUGCUCAUGAUUUUGAGAAAAAAUGUUGGUUUGCAACAACACAUGAAUUUAGAGACUUAAUUAAACGGUGGUUACUUAUUCAUGGACCAAAUUACUUAUUCAUUAAAAGUUUAAUCAAUUUUAAGUUUGGAAAUAUCAAUCGAAACAUGCAUGAAGUGUAUGGAGCUUUUUGUCUUUUCCUGUUUAAAGAUCGAGUAAGAGAUGAUGAAAAUGUCUAUAACACAUGAAUAAAGAUAGAGUGUAUGCAUUAUUCCUACUUUUCUCAGCAAAAAAAAAAAGAUAUUGACAAGUUGAUAUUUAUAUUUUGAAUCUUUGAUGAAGCUCUACUCUAAACAGUAGAUAAAUAAUACACUAAUAACGAAAAUCUAGUCUUUCAUCUCAAGUUCUUCCUAAGACAUGCUAGAGAUAUUAUACAAGUGCCUAUCUAUAUCAGGAAUAAAGCCAUUCUCCAACAUUUCCAAUCUUACUAUAUCAUAUGUAUUACGGUUUGGAUUCAAACCCUUUUCCAACAUCUCAUUAAGAAUAUUAUUUGCAGCCUCUAGCUUGUCAAUUUUACAAUACCCUUUAAUCAAAACAUUAUAAGUAACAACAUUCGGCUGCUUUCGUUCUUUCUCCAUUCUCGCCCUCACGUUCAACGCUGCCUUAAGAUUCUUUGAUAUAGAUGCUUCAGAUGACGAGUUGUCUGAUACAGAAGAAGCAAAUGUCACUGAUCAAAAGGGUGUAAGAGAUUCUAUGUACCAAACAGAUAAAGAAUCAUUUAUGGAUGUUUUGGCUGCAAUAAUUGUUAGCGAAGAAUUUCAAGGGAUAUUAACAUCUGAAGCUGGGUUUACCAAAGGUUCGGAAAAUGGCUCAAAUACAACAUCUAAAGUAUCAAAAUCUCCUGUUGCCAAUGCAGAAUCAACUCCUUCUGGUUCUGAUAAAUCUGAAGGUUCUGGAGGUACCAUACUUUUAUAAUCUCUAAUAUAACCUUGUCUAACAUGGAUAUGUAUUAUGUGAAUGUUUUUAAGAUUCAUAAAGCUUCUCGUAUUCACGACGAAAAUAAAAACUUUGAAAUGCAGAGUCAGCCUUAUUUUGGCUUGCUGUGAUUAUCGGCAUGACACUACUAAUUGCUGUCAAUAUCAGUGGUUCAAGUAUCUUCAAUCCUUGAGACGGUCUUUGACAAUCUUCACCUUGGUUCAGCUAAAGUAAUUCUUAAGUCUUGUGCUCUUACUUCCAUUGGAUAGUUCAACUGCUUUAUACUUCUUGUGUAUGUUCUCCACAAAGUUAAUUUUUUUUUAUCUUGCAGGUUGUGCAGAAGAUUUUUAAUCAGAUCUUUCUUUUAGCUACUAGUAUAGUUUAGUAUAUUCAUGAGUACUGCUGUGGAGCAAAGCAUCUACUGGCGGCGGGUGAUUCAUGGCUUCUUUUUGUGAGAGCUACAGAUUUUAAUUCAGCUUAAAUAUAAAUUUAUUGUUCGUAUAUAUGCAAAUACAACGAUAUUGUUUUUUACCAGGCAAUAAUAAAAUAGCAGGUUUUUUAACCAUUACAUUUGUCUGGG